CCUGACUGGGGAUUCAGAGCCCCGUUGGCCUCUUGAACCAAAAACCCCUCACCCUCACCCUAACCCUACUGUCCUCAUAGCGAGGUGUGAACUCCUAAACUAGUUCCCUGACUCCUCCUUCACCAUCUGAUUGGGUUUCUGCCUCUCCUCUUUCUCUCCCGGGUUCUCCUUGUAGAUUCUCUAGCUACUUGAAUGUAGCUCGCUUCCCUUAAACGUACCAGGCUUUGCCAUCUCUGCCCAGGGACUAGUGUGGGGUCCACUGGCUUUUGAGGUGGUCCUGGAAAUGCGACCCCCAUAAGCCUCAUGAUUUUCAUGGCAAAACACCUCCCAGAGCCAUGUCAGAGCCUGGAGGGCAGGGCCUGCACAGGCUUUGUGAAGAGAAUCCAGCCCAGGCCUUGCAGCUGACUCCUUCAUGAUCCAUGGACCUGUUUAGAGCUUUGGAAAUUUCCACACAGGUAGCUCCGCCGUUCUCUUCCUGCCUGGUGGGACCCGGGUAGUCAUUUAGAAUCGGUCUGGGUGGACAGUGAUGAGCUCCACCUCAGUCCUAGAAAAGAGCACAAGUUCCCAUGAGACUGCAGGCAGGGACAAGGCCAUUACACCCGGAGCCCCUAACAACAGGCACAUGGCACUCACACUCCCUGGCAAGACACCCGGGGCUGGGGCGAGCUCCUUCUUAGUGAUUAACAGGUGUGGAAUGGGUAUUAUUAGUCGCGGCUUUUCAUGAGUUCCCACCUUGUUCCUGCCCUUGGCAGGGUAUCUUCCCUUCCCUGGAAUUAAACAGGAGCUCUGGCCUCUGCCUCUCAUCGUGGUGUAUGGUGCCACAGAAGCCAAGGACUCCCAGUUGCGCUUAUUGAAAUCAGCAGGUGUUUUUCUCUGACCACAACGAAAGCACAGGCCUGCUCAGGGGAGCCGGGCAUGGGGGCCAGAGUCAGGGGUGCAGAGUAGGAGGUGGAUGAUUCUCAAGGGGCCUUGUGAAAUGUUUUCAAGCAGAUGAAAAAAUAGCUUCAGGACAUCUUCCCUGUGUGUGUGUGUGUGUGUGUGUGUGUACGUGUGUGUUGGGGGGUUCGUAGGCUGCUGGGUAUGAUGAGCCUCCGUCUCACUUGGCAUCUUCUGGGCGUUUCCUCUGCCCUCUGACCAUUUCCCAGCAAGUCUCUGCCUGCGAUCCCUACUGCUUAUUGGGCACCGACACAUGCAUACAAUCUCACUUAAUUGUCACAACUCUUCCCAGGUGAGGCCUAUUGUCUCUCUUUCCCAUAAGGAGGUGGAGGCUCCAGGGUUUUUCCCUGCUCACCCACAUCCGGAAGCUGGGUUCCUCUGACGCUAGGGCACCUGAGCUGUUCUGCCACCAUGCAUCUCCCUGGGGUUCACAGGGACACGGAGGGGGCUUCCCGCCUGCAGAAGAGAAAGGAGACUAGGGGCACAUUCUAGACUUUUCUGUAACAUUCUUCAAGGAGUACUCUCAGAAAUUCAGGAAAUGUGGCUUGAGGCUGAGGUUCAAAGACGGAAAACAUGCAACUGGAGACCUUCCAACAGUCUUCUUUUCACGGUCACUUCUAAGUCACUUAGACAGUUACUCCCCUGCUUAAGACCUUUCUGGUUCCUCUUAGGGUUAGGUCUGCAGACCUCAUUGUGACUUCCCUUGUGAUGCAGUUUCAAAGUCAGCAGUAUUUCCAUUUUAACCAAAGUCUCUCUGGAAGGACCUGCGUUUGCAUGAGAAAGACAGUUGGCUGCAGCUGGGAAAGCAUCUGGGUUGAGUGACUGUCACCUCUUCUCCUAGGGAUGCAGGAGGCUCCCAGCUUAGACUUCUCAGAGCUGGGACCGGUCUCGCCCUGGCUCCUCCCUUCCCACCAGCCGCGGGGGAGGUCGGAUGGUGUGCGGGCCUGGGCGCCGGAGCUUCUCCCGGGGCUUCCUUGAAUACAAAACAGUGUUUUGCUGCUGGGAAAAUAUUUAUCAAAGGUCUGGCGAUAGCUGGGGGGGAGUUUGACAACUCGAAAGGCCACAAACAUUCUUUAUCUGCCGGAUGAGGUUAGUUUCUGUUUGGACCCGAUGUUUUUGAAAGAAGGAAAUCAUUUUCAUAAGCAUCCGAUUAGGUCCAGGAAGUGUCCUCCAGACAAUGAGAAGUGGACUCCCGCAGCGAGUCCGGACUUUUGUCGUUGGUUUGUACCGCCAUCUGCUGGCCAAACUUGUGAACUACACGGCACGGGAACGUUUUCUUCCUCCCUGGCUCUUGAAUACAAAUUCUCUCCAUGGUGCAAAAGGGAAAUGGCAAGAGUUUUUUUUUGUUGUUGUUGUUUAUUUGUUUUUAAAUAGCAAUUAUUAGAAUAUUUCUUAGUUCCCUUGGUGAUAAAGCAGACACAAGGUGGAAGAAUAAAGCUACAGCAAACUUUGCUCAUCUGAGGCUAGAGGGUGGAAGAAUUCCUCAGCAUGAUUGAUUAGACCUUCUGAUUGAGCCCAUUCUGAAUUUUUGAGACCACCUCAUUAGCAAAUUCAGGGAAAUAUAAGAAUUAUUUUUUAAAUAACCAGUGUCAAAUUAAUUGAUUAAAAAGUGAGAAUUGCCAUGUUUAAUUGUAGAAUCUUAGGCACACUUUAAUUUGGAUAAUGGAACAGAUAAAAGAUGUGGGAUCUUUUGUUUCCAAAAUUUCAUGUUAGUUUUAAAUACAGGGCCUUAACCUCUAAAAAUUUAAGUUCUAUACCAGGUAAGGGAUUAUUGUAGCAUACAUAUGACACACUUGCACAGACAGACUUAAAAAAACAGGUUUUUUUUCCCCCACUAUUUUAAAUUUAUUCUGGGAAAAUUUGCGUUUUAUCUUUAAUCUCGAGAGAGUGGAGGUCCAUAUGAGAAUGACUUCAGAACCACAUUAGGGAUACGGAUAUAGACGCCCCAGAACCCUUUUCUCUUCUUCUUUCUCUUGCCAAGACCCUGAUUCUAGGGUUCCCCCCUGUUAGUCUGAGUCCUUUGAGAAGCAGAUGCUCCCAAGGGAUUAAACACGUAAGGAAUUCAUUAGGGGGGGUCAUCUGUUAGAGGAGAGGGGGAGGGUCUAGAGGAAGGCAAGAAAGGCCCCAGACCCCAAGGCAGGAGAGACGGAGGGAAGGAGGAAGAGGCAGGCUGGAUGGGCAGGAGCAUCCCAGACUACAGAGGGGUUCCGGGAAGUUAGGCAGAACCGUGGAGCAUCCUUGUGAAAGGCCAAUUUCCAAGGUGACCCCUGAUGAUCCCUGCCUCCUGAUAGCCUGUGCCUGGUGUCCUGCGUUCCCUUUGAGUGGCUGGCUUCUAGUGGCAAAAGUGAUGGCAUGUCACUCCCAUGCUGUCACCUAGCCGGACUUUCUUGCCGUAUUGCCCACAGGGGAAGAUUUAGGACUCCCAGUGACAUGCUGACCUAGUAUUCCUGAUGGGCUCAGUCUACUGGGAGCAGCCCAAGUGUGAGCUCAGUGCAGAUGCGGUGGUGGAUAUCCUCCCUCCCCACUCCACUCUCUCUUCCUUUCUUCUUUGUCUGUCUCUCCUCCCUUUCUCCUUCCUUUCCUUCCCUCCCCUCUCUCUUCUUUUCUCCUCCUCCUCCUCCUCUUCCUCCUCCUCCUCCUCCUCCUCCUUCUUCUUCUCUCUCUCUCUCUCUCAAUGGAGUUUUGCUUUCUUGCCCAAGCUGGAGUGCCCUAGCAGUAGGGAGGGGAGACCAGUGUCCACCUCCACCAGGUGCGAUCCCACUACUGAUCAGCACAUACAACCUCCUGCUCCCCUGUCCCUUAGGAGGUCAUGCUAUUGAUGGCAAACUUUGUUGUCACCUAUCAGCAUAAAGCACUGUAGCCCAGAACUUCUGGGCUCAAGAGUCAUCCUGCCUUAGCCUCCCUAGCAGCUGGGACAACUGGUGUGUGCCCCCUGCCCUGUUGUGGUGAGGGAUUUCAGAGAAGCCGCUGGGGCCUUCAGAUCAUUACGUUCUCUACCAUCAGGUAUCUGAAAGGCAUAAUCUCAUGGUCACCACAGACACUCAGAGCAGAGGUUACAAUUCUCAUUCUCCCUUGAGGCUUGGGUGGCUCUCUUACUUGCUGAAUUCUGUUUCCAUAAAGCUGGCUGCCAUGUUGGAAAGUCCCAUGUAACAAGGGAAGCCAGGAAAGACCUUAGUUAUCUGAGAUGCCUUCUCUUAUAUGGGUAAGUUAUAUAUUUGACUUCUAGAAAGAGUUCCUAAAGAGAUUUAUCACUCCCUUGUCCUUUUUCCCCUCUUGCUGGCUGGAAUGUGAUGAGAUCACUGGAUCUGGAGCUGCCAUUUUGGAUCAGGAAGUAGAAGCUGGGUGUGGAGAAUGAUGAAGCCAGAAAAUAAAAGAAAUCCAAUCCCUCAAAGUGAUCAUGGGGCCCCCCACAGACUGUCUAGGUUCACGGGAGAGAGAAAUAAAUGUCUAACUUGCAUAAACCAGUGCUUGAUUUCAUUUUAAUUUUUUUUUUUUUUGUCGUAUCAGAAGUUACUCUGAACUGAAAAAAAAAUCAACAUUUUAUUAGGAAAGUCUGAAGGUUAAAGGAACAAAUGUUUCUCAUUUGCUAAAUCAUGGUAAAAAGAAAAGUAAAAUUGCUCAGAACUGUGACUGGAAGAUGAUACCCGGCUCCCUGUGGUGGAGGUGGCCGCUGGUCUCCCCUCCCUACUGCUGGGAGGUGUCCCUUCCCUCUUCCUCAGCAAGGACAGAGAGGAGGAAGCCACUGAUUGUCAUCAUGGCGAGGUCUUUGAAAGCAACCCCUGAGAAAGCAAGUGAAGUCCCCUCACUGGGUGCCAGGCUCAGAACAUUGGCUCCCCCAGGCUAAGAAAGUUUGUUGAAUGAAAGACCAAGGAGAAACCAGCUGGGUUUUGAUUGUCCACCAAAUCUGUUGAAAACACUUUCUCUAAGCUCAUCUGUUUUGAAGCUUUCCAAGCUUGAGAACAUAAUAAAUAUUACUUUUGUCGGGCUUGUCAUUCAUUCAACCCAGUCUAGUUCUUUGGUUGUGGCACGGGGAGGGGGGGUUGUAUUUUCUGGAAGGGUGAAGUUAUCUUCUCUGAUGACUUUCAAAACAUGCAUUUACCCAUCAGGACUGUUGGGUGGACUGGGGGUGCAGCUCAGUGCAGCGUGCUUGCUGAGCCAUGCCAGGGCCCUGCCGUCAAUCCCCAGUAUCAUGGGGGGACAUCAACUUUUCCUGCAGAAAGCAAUGCCUCUACUAAGACCUGUGGGAAAGGAGCCCAGGAAAGAAGGAGCCGUACAUCCUAGAUGGGAGGUCGGGAGGGCGCUGUGUGUGCAGGAGCUACACGUGGCUUGGUGAUGUUGCUAGGACACUGUGAGGUGGGAUGGCUGGGGGCUGGAGAGAGGAGGUGAGGCCAGGUGACAUGAGGGAUGGCAUCACAUGUGGGGGCGUAAGGGCAGGGGCAGGAGGGGCUGUGCAGACUUUAAUCAGGAGACAUGCCUAGCUUGUGUUUUAGAAGACCUCACUGAUUACAUCGUGGGGCUCUGGUUCCAGGUAAGGUGAUGAAAUACACACCACCCUGUAUCUGCUCCUCAAAUCAGCUGUAAAACCUGGACAGAACGCAUGCAGCAGCUAUUUGAGGACCCCGAGAAGUAAGUCGCAGGUGGAUUGAGAAGGAAGACUAGAAUUUGCGGUAUGGCUGAACCAGUAUGGUGUCUGCAUUCUUUUUUUUUCCUCCAGUAUUUCCUGGACUCGACACAGCCAGAAACCUGGAAGGGUUUCUCCACACAGAGAAAGAUCCAGGAGAGGCUCCAUUCUCUUGCAUCCAGUCCCCAAGGAAUCCUGAGACAGCAUCAGGGACAGUGGCAACAAGGGCACUUAACUAAAAGCCUCAGGGCCGGAAGGAGAGGAGACUUAUUCAACUGGGGGACUGAAUCCUUGUUACUUUAAAACAUUUUUCUUCCAUUGCUUGGCCCAAGAACCUGGUACCAGAUGUGGGCUCAGAUGCAGCAAAUGUGUGGCAAAAUGAGAUAAAGCAACCCCCAAAUUUCUGGUGGAGACUGAAAAGGGAAAUAUCAGGGACCCAGAAAGGGUUAGGGAAGAGAGGAGAGGAGAAGCUCAGGAAAACUACCUGAUAAAACUGUUUAUGAACUUAUGGAUUCAUCCCUGAGCUGCUAAUGCAUGGAGAGGACCUUAAGCAUAGUAUUAUAGACGUAGAGAUUUGAACUAUGGGAUAGACAACAGCCCCAGGUACAGACUUACCACUGGUGACCCAUGUGGGUCACUUCUAAGUAGCACCGAAAUACUUUGGGAUAUAGAACUGAUAUCGGAAUCACAUCGACAAGUUCAAGCCAGAACUUGCAGCCUAUAACCAACAAAGUCAGCUGAACAAACCAGUUUGCCUGCCUAAAUGAAAACAUCAACAUUUUUCCAUAGAGUUUAAAUAAGACCCAGAGCCUUAAGACACAAUAUCCAGAACACUCAGGAAACCAUCUAAAAUUAGCAAUAAUAAUAAUAAAAAAGGAACAUUUCAAAUUUCCUAGUGGGGAAAAACCCAAAAUGCUAAAGUAAGAAUGUCACAGGUGUUGAAAUUGUUUGACAAAUAUUUUAAGGUGGUUUUACAAAAAUGCUCCAAGCAGUAAGGGCAAAUCCUGUUGAAAUGAAUAGAACGUUAGAAAGUCUCAGUGAACAAAUGAAAGAUAUUUAAUGGAAAAAAAUAUUGAAAUUUUAGAAGUGAAAAAUACAGUCAUCAAAAAUUUAAAAACCAACUAGAUGGGUUCAUUGGAAAAUGACAGAGGAAGAAUAAGUGAACUUGAAGGUAGAUGAAUAGAAGUGAUCUAAUCUGAAUAAUAGAGAAUUUUUGACAUUCAAAAUUGGUUGUACAGCCUGACAAUAGAAUGUGGGAAAAGAAAACAUAUUCUCCUAUUUUCAGCUUCUAUUUGGUAUCUCAAGAAUGAUGCCCGGGAGUCUUAGAUCUUAGAACUCAUACCUUAGUGUAAAGAAGAUACCUGUCUUGGUAACGCAGCUUGCUGUGCUGGGUAGAAGAAAGAGGGAGAAUUCUUCCCUUUUCAUCUUGAGAGAUAAUUAGUGACAAAUUAGAGAGAAAGAGACAGGAGAGUUGACUAUAAAAUAAACAAGUGCAUUUGCUUUGACUCAAAUGUAUAAUUCAUGAAGUUUUUUUUUUCUUUUUCUUAACAGUUGAUCACUUUUUUUUUUUUAUAAACUGAAGUUUGACCUCAAUUUUAUUUUGCAGAUUCAAAAGAGACUGUAGCUUGUGCACAUGAGGACUAACCCUUGUGUGCCUCUCUAUGAAGUGGGACUUUGUUCUCAAGCUAAUAAAUACAGAAAUUAAAAACAAUUUUUAGGGGGCGUUAUUGGGGAUUUAAUCCAGGGCACUGCACAUGCUAGGCCAGCACCCUACCUCUGAGCUAUAUCCCUAACUCUUUCUAUUUUAUUUUGAGACAGGGUCUCACUAAGUUGCCCGGGCUGACCUCAAACUCAGGAUCUCUCUGCUUCAGCUUCCCAACUAGCUGGGAUUACGAUUGCGCCCCACGGAGCCCAACCUGAAUAAUCAGAAUCAACCUUAGGAGGAGCCGGUUGAUAAAACAAAAAAGAAUGCUGAGUUCCUUUAGUUGUGAGACAAGUGACAGCUGGUGGACUGGAGUGUUCCCAGGUAUGUAAGAGAUGCACAAAGAGAAAUUAGAUCUACUUUAGCCCAAGAACCUGGGACCAGAGAAAUGAAAAUACUCUCAAAUUUAGGUACCUUGUCCAUCGCAGGGUUGGAACUCGAACAUUGAUCCCCACCCGCUGCCACUUUGUUCAAAGACUCUGGAAUCGAGGACUCAAUCUCAUUCCUUCUCCUUUUCUCACACAAGAGAAGCCAAGCCACUGCUGGAAGGCUGCUUCCAGAACAUGGAAUUAGAAUGAGAAUUUAAUUCUGCUUGCCAAGCAAGGAAUUCUCCAGGGGCUCAUUUUUCAGAGACACAAAUUUUGACUCCUCUUUGUCUGAGCUCCAUGAAAAAAUAUUACUGGGUUUGCACUUGGGUCAGAAUAUGCUCACUGAAGCCAUGUUGGUUUUGAGGUACGUGCUAAGCCUAAUUGCCGUGGUAGGGAUCUGGCUUGAGUGUAUCCCUCAGUCACUCAUGGUUUGGAAGCUUGGUCCUUAAUGUGCUGGUGUUGGGAGGUGGUGGAACCUUCAAGAACCUAAUGGGAGGUCAUUGGGUCAUCAGGCACAGGCUUUUGGAAGUAUCCUGGUUAGUUCUCCAGAGAAGGUUGUUAGAAAGGAGACAUACUUGCUUCUCAUUCUCUGCCUUCGUAUCUUACUAUGUGAUCACUUCCCUUCUGUCACCACGAGGCCCUCUUCCACACUCACUAAGGCCAGGCAAAGGCUGAUGCAAUACUCUUGGGCCUUCAAAAUCGCGAGUUAAAUAAACAACUUUUCUUUGUAAG
This 8359-nucleotide long non-coding RNA is filed under the name Marmota monax (woodchuck). Lineage: Eukaryota; Metazoa; Chordata; Mammalia; Rodentia; Sciuridae. The record is from RNAcentral.